Molecule: ribosomal RNA, 253 nt
Filed under: uncultured bacterium
Lineage: Bacteria
Description: partial 16S ribosomal RNA
Rfam family: Bacterial small subunit ribosomal RNA
Source: RNAcentral
UACGUAGGGUGCGAGCGUUAAUCGGAAUUACUGGGCGUAAAGCGUGCGCAGGCGGUUUUGCAAGCCGGAUGUGAAAUCCCCGGGCUUAACCUGGGAAUGGCAUUUGGGACUGCAAGGCUUGAGUGCGGCAGAGGAGACUGGAAUUCCUGGUGUAGCAGUGAAAUGCGUAGAUAUCAGGAGGAAUACCGAUGGCGAAGGCAGGUCUCUGGGCUGACACUGACGCUCAUGCACGAAAGCGUGGGGAGCAAACAGG